This 450-nucleotide ribosomal RNA is filed under the name Triticum aestivum (bread wheat). RNAcentral's name for it is "partial small subunit ribosomal RNA". The record is from RNAcentral. Lineage: Eukaryota; Viridiplantae; Streptophyta; Magnoliopsida; Poales; Poaceae.
AUGGGCCACAGCUCUCCUGGCCAUCCUAUAAUCUUGGCCCAACAUAGUGCCAAAGAAGAGUGUGCUGCCAGGGGAAAGGGUAAAUGGAGCACUGGCUUAUCAAGCUAUGCUCAUCUCAGUGUUGAAGAACUUCACUCCGGUUUUUUAAACCGUCUGCACUCAAACCGUGACUAUGAAGCCGGUUUGGUGAACCUGAUGAAGGAACGCUAUGAGGCCGAGCUAAGCAAUAGAUAUGCCCGAACCGCUGAUUUGCAAGAGAACGUGAAGUCCCAACAAGAAGAGGCUGUGAAAGCCAAGGAGGAGCUGACCAAAGCCCUGACAGCUAUGGAAAAGCUAAAGGAGUCUUUUAACAAGGAACAUGCUGACUGGGAAACCGAAAAGGCCGGUUUAACCAAAAGAGCUGAGGAUGCCGAAGCAGCCCUGAAGCCAGUGAUGAAGCUGUGUACCUAG